GACGAACGCUGGCGGCGUGCUUAACACAUGCAAGUCGAACGGAAAGGCCCUGCUUUUGUGGGGUGCUCGAGUGGCGAACGGGUGAGUAACACGUGAGUAACCUGCCCUUGACUUUGGGAUAACUUCAGGAAACUGGGGCUAAUACCGGAUAGGAGCUCCUGCUGCAUGGUGGGGGUUGGAAAGUUUCGGCGGUUGGGGAUGGACUCGCGGCUUAUCAGCUUGUUGGUGGGGUAGUGGCUUACCAAGGCUUUGACGGGUAGCCGGCCUGAGAGGGUGACCGGCCACAUUGGGACUGAGAUACGGCCCAGACUCAUACGGGAGGCAGCAGUGGGGAAUAUUGCACAAUGGGCGGAAGCCUGAUGCAGCAACGCCGCGUGCGGGAUGACGGCCUUCGGGUUGUAAACCGCUUUCGCCUGUGACGAAGCGUGAGUGACGGCAAUGGGUAAAGAAGCACCGGCUAACUACGUG
This 468-nucleotide ribosomal RNA is filed under the name uncultured bacterium. Its description in RNAcentral is "partial 16S ribosomal RNA". It matches the Rfam family "Bacterial small subunit ribosomal RNA", at positions 28 to 507 of the family's 1533-position model. The record is from RNAcentral.